Long non-coding RNA from Peromyscus californicus insignis, 598 nucleotides. RefSeq lists it as uncharacterized. Lineage: Eukaryota; Metazoa; Chordata; Mammalia; Rodentia; Cricetidae. The record is from RefSeq and is a predicted model, not a curated record. The transcript is spliced from 2 exons.
CUUCCAUCCCCGAGACUGAGACCCUAACAGGGAUGGAACUCAGGUUGUUGAUGUCAAGCACUAUUAUCAUCAGCCUCCAUCUUUUUAGAUGUUUGCAGCGGUAAAAGUUUGGCCAAGAGCAAAAGGCUCCGCCCCCGGCACCCGAGGACCAAUCGCUGCUCGGGGGGAGGCUCCAGGCCUAUAUAAACGAGUUACGCGCACGUACGUGUCUUUCGAAGGAUCGUAUUCGCGUGAGUCUCUUUAAAUUGUGGGUAUUUGGGUGCUGCUGGGGUCUAGGCCUGACCUUGUAGACCCUCCUUUUCUUGGCGGGGAUCGGGCGUACCAUCCUGCUCCCCGUUAUGUACGGAGGCAGAAGGAAAGGGCUCCGGCCCUCUCGGCGUUAUGUCUUCGGUGCCUGCGGCCUCCCGUUCGCCGGUUCUAUCCUCAGACGCCGGGACACCACUCCCUACGCAGAAAUGUAGCCAGACCCGGCAGUCCCCUCUAUGCGAUAGUCACGCUCUUUUAUUUUGAUUUCAGGUCGUGGAUGACGCCCCGGGAGUGAUAGUUAAUGUUUUCCUUCGCGGUUUAUUGUUGAACCAAUAAAGUCAGUGAACGCUAA